AUUGAACGCUGGCGGCAGGCUUAACACAUGCAAGUCGAACGAGCGGCGGACGGGUGAGUAAUGUCUGGGAAACUGCCUGAUGGAGGGGGAUAACUACUGGAAACGGUAGCUAAUAACGCAUACCAUCGGAUGUGCCCAGAUGGGAUUAGCUAGUAGGUGGGGUAACGGAUCACCUAGGCGACGGUCCCUAGCUGGUCUGAGAGGAUGACCAGCCAAACUGGAACUGAGACACGGUCCAGACUCCUAGGGGAGGCAGAAGUGGGGAAUAUUGCACAAUGGGCGCAAGCCUGAUGCAGCCAUGCCGCGUGUAUGAAGAAGGCCUUCGGGUUGUAAAGUACUUUCAGCGAGGAGGCGUUACUCGCAGAAGAAGCACCGGCUAACUCCGUGCCAGCAGCCGCGGUAAUAC
Molecule: ribosomal RNA, 406 nt
Filed under: uncultured bacterium
Lineage: Bacteria
Description: partial 16S ribosomal RNA
Rfam family: Bacterial small subunit ribosomal RNA
Source: RNAcentral